This is a small nucleolar RNA of Sorex fumeus (smoky shrew), 132 nucleotides long. RefSeq annotates it as small nucleolar RNA SNORA51. The record is from RefSeq and is a predicted model, not a curated record. The transcript has a single exon. NCBI's taxonomy places the organism in Eukaryota, Metazoa, Chordata, Mammalia, Eulipotyphla, Soricidae.
UACCUCCUGGUGCUCACCACAGGCUGUGUUCUUUACACCAACUGUAUAGAAAGAGGAAGUAUAGUAAUCCCAUCCCAUAUACACCCCAACUCAGGCCCUCUGCCUGGUCUGUAUUGUGAACGGGGGACAUGG